CAGAGGAAACGUCUGAACGUGUCGAGCUGAGACAGAAAAAAGAAAAGACUCCACCUGUGUCUCAAACGUUUUGAAGGACGAAGAGAAGGAAACAUCCUGAAUCAUUUGAAGGAGAAGUUUCAGUAUGAAGCAGGAAAACGAGACGACAGGUGGCGUCUGAAGAAAGAUGGAGAAUCGACCUUUUCAACAAUCUUUUAUCUUCAAGAAAAUUCAAGCGUUGGACUGAAGCUCGUUGUGACGUCUUCAUGGUUUGACAUUAGUUUGAAGAGAAAGACGAGACGACCUGUUCUGAAAUCUUUCGUCUGGAUUGUUCUGAAGAGUCCAAGAAGACGCACAACGACAACAAGUAGGACGAUUUGUAGAAGACGUCUCUGAGGUGAUUGAAUUCAAGAGGAGGAAAUGUCUUGAGAAGCUGAAGGUCUUUGUUCAGACCUGAUCCAGGACCAGACCUGGACCCAGACUGGAUUCACCUCUGACCUCAGACAUUCCAAUCGUUACUUCAGAGAAGAAGGAACGUGUUCCUGAUGUCCUGACGCAGGUCGUCCUCGUCUGUCGGCCGGACUCGUUCCUCAGUCCAACAGGAAAAUGAUGGCAGGUCAAGACGCAGACCUGUGAGGAGGAAUCGAAGCCACACUAUUGACGGUACACAGGCGUGAUGUUAGCGUGUUGCUCCCUGCUGCUCACCUGGCUGCUGGUCACCACCAGAGUCCAAAGCCAA
Non-coding RNA from Paralichthys olivaceus (Japanese flounder), 718 nucleotides. The record is from RefSeq and is a predicted model, not a curated record. NCBI's taxonomy places the organism in Eukaryota, Metazoa, Chordata, Actinopteri, Pleuronectiformes, Paralichthyidae.